GCCUCCAGCAUUUCAUCGGUUACACUUUAGGUUUUCCUACCCCAGCACUGCUUCCUACAGAGGCUCUGUCUCAGUUUUCCAGCUGGGACAUAGUUUUUCUUCUGUCUUUCCACAUGGAUUCGAACUAACACCAUCAGCUCGCCUGCUUCUCAGACCUUCAGACUCAGAUGGAACUACACUAUAGGUUCUCCUGGGUCUGGACUUCUCAGCCUCCAUAAUCAUACGGACUGUUGUGCAGACUCAGGCAGCUCACUCGGGGCUGGGCAGCAGACAGUGAUUAUCGUCACCCCCUGCUUUCAUCCAUUACGGCGGGUGUUAGCAGAUGUGGGAUUUGAGACCCAAAGAAGUGAAGUAACCUGCCCAAGUUUACACAGCUUGGAGUAGAACCCGAGUUUCUAUGGACUCCAGAGCUCAUGAGUUCACCACUUUUCUGUGCCUCCUAACUCUAUGCCGCUGAGGACUCAGAAGAAGCCAGUGCUAAUGCUUUCUCCAGUUUCUCUCCUCUUGUGUGAACUGUGUGAACUGCCACUUUAAGACUCUCUUGGAGAAUCAUAAUCCAAGUUGCGAAGUCCAACAAUUCCUCUGGAGAAAUGGUUCUCAACUGGGGGCAAAUUUGGGCCCCAGGAGACAUAUGGCAAUGUCUGACAAUGUUUUUUUGAUUGUUACAAACAGGUUGGGGAGAGAGUCCUGCUAGCAUCUAGUUGGUAGAGGCCAGGGAUAAUGCUGAACAGCCUGCAGGACACCCCGAACCCCAUCAAAGACCCAAAACGUCAAUGGUACUGAGGUUGAAAAACCCUGGUCUGGA
This 805-nucleotide long non-coding RNA is filed under the name Homo sapiens (human). Its description in RNAcentral is "novel transcript". The record is from RNAcentral. Lineage: Eukaryota; Metazoa; Chordata; Mammalia; Primates; Hominidae.